UACGGAGGGGGCGAGCGUUAUUCGGAAUUAUUGGGCGUAAAGGGCGCGUAGGCGGCCCGGUAAGUCAAAGGUGAAAUCCCUCGGCUCAACUGAGGAACUGCCUUUGAAACUGUUUGGCUUGAGUCCGGGAGGGGGUAGCGGAAUUCCCAGUGUAGCGGUGAAAUGCGUAGAUAUUGGGAGGAACACCAGUGGCGAAGGCGGCUACCUGGACCGGAACUGACGCUGAUGCGCGAAAGCGUGGGUAGCAAACAGG
This 253-nucleotide ribosomal RNA is filed under the name uncultured bacterium. RNAcentral's name for it is "partial 16S ribosomal RNA". It matches the Rfam family "Bacterial small subunit ribosomal RNA", at positions 524 to 776 of the family's 1533-position model. The record is from RNAcentral.